This 253-nucleotide ribosomal RNA is filed under the name uncultured bacterium. RNAcentral describes it as "partial 16S ribosomal RNA". It matches the Rfam family "Bacterial small subunit ribosomal RNA", at positions 524 to 776 of the family's 1533-position model. The record is from RNAcentral.
UACGGGGGGGGCAAGCGUUGUUCGGAAUUACUGGGCGUAAAGGGCUCGUAGGCGGCCAACUAAGUCGGACGUGAAAUCCCUCGGCUUAACCGGGGAACUGCGUCCGAUACUGGAUGGCUUGAGUAUGGGAGAGGGAUGCGGAAUUCCAGGUGUAGCGGUGAGAUGCGUAGAUAUCUGGAGGAACAUCGGUGGCGAAGGCGGCAUCCUGGACCGGUAUUGACGCUGAGGCGCGAAAGCUAGGGGAGCAAACGGG